This 301-nucleotide ribosomal RNA is filed under the name uncultured bacterium. RNAcentral describes it as "partial 16S ribosomal RNA". It matches the Rfam family "Bacterial small subunit ribosomal RNA", at positions 509 to 807 of the family's 1533-position model. The record is from RNAcentral.
CAGCAGCCGCGGUAAGACAGAGGAUGCAAGCGUUAUCCGGAAUUAUUGGGCGUAAAGGGCUCGCAGGCGGUUUCUUAAGUCUGAUGUGAAAGCCCCCGGCUCAACCGGGGAGGGUCAUUGGAAACUGGGAAACUUGAGUGCAGAAGAGGAGAGUGGAAUUCCACGUGUAGCGGUGAAAUGCGUAGAGAUGUGGAGGAACACCAGUGGCGAAGGCGACUCUCUGGUCUGUAACUGACGCUGAGGAGCGAGAGCGUGGGGAGCGAACAGGAUUAGAUACCCCGGUAGUCCCUGUCUCUUAUAC